This 499-nucleotide ribosomal RNA is filed under the name uncultured bacterium. RNAcentral describes it as "partial 16S ribosomal RNA". It matches the Rfam family "Bacterial small subunit ribosomal RNA", at positions 28 to 507 of the family's 1533-position model. The record is from RNAcentral.
GACGAACGCUGGCGGCGUGCCUAAUACAUGCAAGUCGAGCGGACUUUCAAGAAGCUUGCUUUUUGAAAGUUAGCGGCGGACGGGUGAGUAACACGUGGGCAACCUGCCUGCAAGACGGGGAUAACUCCGGGAAACCGGGGCUAAUACCGGAUAAUAUCUUCCUUCGCAUGAAGGAAGGUUGAAAGGCGGCGCAAGCUGCCGCUUGCAGAUGGGCCCGCGGCGCAUUAGCUAGUUGGUGAGGUAACGGCUCACCAAGGCGAGGAUGCGUAGCCGACCUGAGGGGGUGAUCGGCCAGACUGGGACUGAGACACGGCCCAGACUCCUACGGGAGGCAGCAGUAGGGAAUCUUCCGCAAUGGACGAAAGUCUGACGGAGCAACGCCGCGUGAGCGAAGAAGGUCUUCGGAUCGUAAAGCUCUGUUGUCAGGGAAGAACAAGUACCGUUCGAACAGGGCGGUACCUUGACGGUACCUGACCAGAAAGCCACGGCUAACUACGUG